RNAcentral lists this ribosomal RNA (253 nucleotides) under uncultured bacterium. Its description in RNAcentral is "partial 16S ribosomal RNA". It matches the Rfam family "Bacterial small subunit ribosomal RNA", at positions 524 to 776 of the family's 1533-position model. The record is from RNAcentral.
UACGUAGGUGGCAAGCGUUGUCCGGAAUUACUGGGCGUAAAGGGCUCGUAGGUGGCCAACUAAGUCAACCGUGAAAUCCCUCGGCUUAACCGGGGAACUGCGUUUGAUACUGGAUGGCUUGAGUUUGGGAGAGGGAUGCGGAAUUCCAGGUGUAGCGGUGAAAUGCGUAGAUAUCUGGAGGAACACCGGUGGCGAAGGCGGCAUCCUGGACCAAUACUGACGCUGAGGAGCGAAAGCUAGGGGAGCAAACGGG